CUUGCUGUAAAUUUACAAGAAAUCAGUGUAACAUUUUCUUGUUCUCAGUACUUUCAAUGUUCCCAGUACUUUCAUUCUUACAAACAUGAUUUUUUCUUUUCUCAGGACUCAAGCAAGAAGGAGUCACCAUCUUCCAAUGAAGAGGGCCAGCGGGCAGCCGCCGGUGCCGCCGGCGCCCCGCCGCCCACCGCUCUCAGCAAGGUGCCCUACGGCGCCAGCCCCAUGAUGCGCAAGGACCGCCGCCAGAGCUCCUCCCGCUUCAACCUGCCCAGGAACCGGGAGCUCGAGAAGCUGCCCAGCUUCAAAGAGGUGGCCGCCAGCGAACGGGAGGAGCUCUUCAUCCAGAAGAUCCGACAAUGCUGCGUGCUGUUCGACUUCAUCUCGGACCCGCUGUCCGACCUCAAAUGGAAGGAGGUGAAACGGCUGGCGCUGCAGGAGAUGAUCGAGCACGUGUCCUCACAGCGCGGAGUCAUCACCGAGAACAUCUACCCAGAGGUGGUACAGAUGGUGUCUGUGAACCUGUUUCGCACGCUGCCGCCGUCCUCCAACCCCUCGGGCGCCGAGUUUGACCCGGAGGAGGACGAGCCCACCCUAGAGGCCGCCUGGCCGCACCUGCAACUCGUCUACGAGUUCCUGCUGCGCUUCCUCGAGUCGGUCGACUUCCAGCCCAAUGUGGCCAAACGCUACAUUGAUCAGAAGUUUGUACUGCAGCUGCUGGACUCGUUCGAUUCGGAGGACCCCCGAGAGAGGGACUUUCUGAAGACGACACUACAUCGCAUCUACGGAAAGUUUUUGGGCCUGCGCGCCUACAUCCGUAAACAGAUUAACAACAUUUUCUAUAGGUUUAUAUAUGAAACGGAGCACCAUAACGGCGUGGCCGAACUGCUGGAGAUCCUGGGCAGCAUCAUCAACGGCUUCGCGCUGCCGCUGAAGGAGGAGCACAAGUCGUUCCUACUGAAGGUGCUGAUGCCGCUGCACAAGGUCAAGUCGCUCUCUGUCUACCAUCCGCAGCUGGCCUACUGCGUAGUCCAGUUUCUGGAGAAGGACCCGUCGUUGACGGAGCCGGUGAUACUGGCGCUGCUCAAGUACUGGCCCAAGACGCACAGUCCCAAGGAGGUGAUGUUCCUGAACGAACUGGAGGAGAUCCUGGACGUGAUGGAGCCGGCCGAGUUCCAGCGCGUCAUCAAGCCGCUGUUCCAGCAGAUUGCCAGCUGCGUGGCCUCGCCGCACUUCCAGGUGGCGGAGCGGGCGCUCUACUACUGGAACAACGAGUACAUCAUGUCACUGAUGACGGAGAACGCCACCGUCAUCCUGCCAAUCAUGUUCCCGGUGCUCUACAAAAACUCAAAGUCCCACUGGAACAAGACAAUUCAUGGUCUCAUCUACAACGCGCUGAAGCUGUUUAUGGAGAUGAACCAGAAGCUCUUCGACGAUUGCACGCAGCAAAGCAAGCUAGAAAAACAAAAGGAGCGCGAGCGCCAGCGGAUGCACGAGGAGGCGUGGCGCAAGGUGGAAGAGUUGGCCGUGCGCAGCCCGCACUACCCGGCGUUCGCUGACGGAGCGGGCGGCGCGCCUUCAGAUGGGGCCGACGGCGUCGACGGGGAGCAGGAGGACGACGACGGCCCCAUCGACCCGGAGAAGAUCAAAGUAGAGGCGAAACAGGUGCUUGGUCAACGCGGCCUGACGUGGAACACCAUCUUUGAUAUCAUUUUCUCCAGGACAACGUACCUCGUCUCCUCGCCCUUGCCCGUCUCUGACGGGCGCUGAUGUCUUGUCCUGCUAACACCGCAACUCAAAAUCCGCAGGAGAGUGUCCCUCGGCGGCCGAGAGCUCCAUCCAGCCAUCUAUCCUUGGUCCGAUGAUACCUGCCCGCCGUCCUGCGUCCGGAUUAAUCUCUCCCUAACAGGGCUUGGCCAAGGCACCUCAGGGCAAGCCCAAGCCGCUGCUGCGGAAAAAGUCUGAGCUGCCGCAGGACCUGCACACCCAGAAGGCGCUCAACGAGCACAAACGUCCCGACCAGUACCUCACGUCGAGCCCCGAGCUGAAGAACUCCAGCUAGGUCGCCACGCUGCCGCCGCCGCCGCUGUCGCCGCCCGCAGUCCGCGUCUCUCCCCGCUCGCCUCCUAUGUGUGCCCCUGCCGCCGCCGGCCGUCCCUGCCCGCCUGCCAGCGCGCCGGGCCCGCCGCCAGCCGUGUAGGACUAGCCGCCGGCGCUGCUGUUGGACGCCCCAUAAUGUGCGCGCGCGAGCCUGUGUGUGUGAGGAAGAGAGUGGUCUGCACGUGCGAGCGAACUGGCGAGGCGCGCACCGCCCGGCGGCCGCCCCUUCACGCCCUCCGCCCGGCUGUCCGUGGCGCACACACAUUCCUCGCGGCAGUGGACCGGAGCGGUCGACACUGGCGCCAAUACGCUUCCCGGACGCGCGGCGCCGUCGGCCCCUCUGUGUGCACGUGUGGGUGGCGCACGUGAGCCUGUGUCCUGCGCGCACCCGCAGGAGAUAGAAUGUGAGGAUGGCGGUGGCGGAGCCGCCCCUGGGGCGUCUGCCGUGCUCCACUGCCGCGCGCCGGACGAACAAAGUCGCGCGCGACCCGCUCCCGACGGAAACAAAUCAAUUAACUGCGCCGCCGCCUUGGACGCCGGAGCCGCCGCGGCCGGGUAUUUUAUCAUCUGUUGUCGAGUGUCAAUGGAGUAUGUUUUAGAGGGCAGCUUUGCUGGACUGGUGUAACUAUGCGGACAUUUUUGUGCAAUAGGCGGCAAAAAUGUGGUGCCGAGUUUACACGACCUCGCGGCCCCGCGUUCGUUUUUAAAACGUGACAGUAUUGUUGGCUGAGUGUUUCGCGAAAGCUCGAUGUCGUUGCGUCGGCCGCCGGUCAGCGUGAAGAUCUUAUUCGUAGUUAGCUGUAACGCCUGAGUUACCAGCUAGUUGAGUUUUAACAAGCUAUAUUUCUGAUUUGUGCAUAAUUUUCUGUUGCCGCCCGAGAUGCUGUAGUAUCUUUAAAUUGCGUUGCUUAACUGUAUGUCGGUGUGUGUUCACACUGUUGAAAUGUGCUUGUUGAAUGGUGGGGUGAAUACCAACUGAUGGACACGGGAA
Molecule: RNA transcript, 3088 nt
Organism: Amphibalanus amphitrite
Lineage: Eukaryota; Metazoa; Arthropoda; Thecostraca; Balanomorpha; Balanidae
Gene name: serine/threonine-protein phosphatase 2A 56 kDa regulatory subunit delta isoform-like
Exons: 12
Source: RefSeq, a predicted model, not a curated record